CUAGUCUCGGCCUGUCGCUGCCAAUUCAGCGACCGGUUUUGACAGACCGCUGA
Non-coding RNA from Pseudomonas putida KT2440, 53 nucleotides. NCBI's taxonomy places the organism in Bacteria, Pseudomonadati, Pseudomonadota, Gammaproteobacteria, Pseudomonadales, Pseudomonadaceae. The record is from Rfam.